Non-coding RNA from Danio rerio (zebrafish), 645 nucleotides. NCBI's taxonomy places the organism in Eukaryota, Metazoa, Chordata, Actinopteri, Cypriniformes, Danionidae. The record is from Ensembl.
AAUAAAUAAGUGCAGUAAGGUUAUCACAUGCCUAACGCAACCUGACACAUGGCCAGACCCGUUUACUGGGUGUUUGCACCUAGAGAAGAUGGUAGCAGCAUCAAAAAGAUGUGGCGUAUUGAAGAAUGUGUGCUCCCCGGCGUGACGGAGCUGCUGUUCUGAGUCGUGACGCUGACUCCAGCAGCAUGUUCCCCUGGGCACUGAAGCGCAACGUCUGCCACGGGCCGAGCUGAGGAUCACAGCUUCAACAGCAGCUCUCAGAUCAGCCGUGUCACGGUGCUCCACCACAGCCCACUGAGGAGGAGCUGUUCUCAGAGCAGUGAAACAGGCUGCGGUACACCUGAAAGGUUAUGGUCUUUAAUAGUCCCUACAGCUUGAAGAGAGCCUGCCUUGGAACUGAUCGGGAAACUGCUGCUAAAGUGUGUGGGAGAGAUCUGUGUGCAGGGAGCACGUGAACGCACAAGGCAGAACGCUGAAAUAUUUCUCUCCCGGUAAAAAAUGUGUGAGCCCACUGCUGUGUUAAACAGAGCCAGAGAGCACAGAUCUGACACAAUCAGCUUUCUGCAAAGGCCAGACAUCGUCUAAAACCCAAAAGAGCCAGGAAAGCUCAUCAGUCCUCUGUCAUGCAAAACACUCCACUGACUG